RNAcentral lists this ribosomal RNA (397 nucleotides) under uncultured bacterium. Its description in RNAcentral is "partial 16S ribosomal RNA". It matches the Rfam family "Bacterial small subunit ribosomal RNA", at positions 523 to 918 of the family's 1533-position model. The record is from RNAcentral.
AUACGUAGGUGACAAGCGUUAUCCGGAUUUACUGGGCGUAAAGGGCGUGUAGGCGGUCUUGCAAGUCAGAAGUGAAAUUCCUGAGCUCAACUCGGGCGCUGCUUCUGAAACUGCAGGACUUGAGUGCUGGAGGGGAUAGCGGAAUUCCUAGUGGAGCGGUAAAAUGCGCAGAUAUUAGGAAGAACACCGGUGGCGAAGGCGGCUAUCUGGACAGUAACUGACGCUGAGGCGCGAAAGCGUGGGGAGCAAACAGGAUUAGAUACCCUGGUAGUCCACGCCGUAAACGAUGGAUACUAGGUGUAGGAGGUAUCGACCCCUUCUGUGCCGGAGUUAACACAAUAAGUAUCCCACCUGGGGAGUACGGCCGCAAGGUUGAAACUCAAAUGAAUCGACGGGG